Molecule: long non-coding RNA, 1949 nt
Filed under: Anas zonorhyncha (Eastern spot-billed duck)
Lineage: Eukaryota; Metazoa; Chordata; Aves; Anseriformes; Anatidae
Description: lncRNA (ENSAZOG00000004472.1)
Source: RNAcentral
AUGGAGGAUUUCCAAGCUGCAAAUUCCCCAAAGAACUCUGGAUUUCCUGCACUACCAGCAAAUUUUACAAGACAAACUCCUCUCAGAAUAGCAAAUGUGAAUCUGAAUGAAAACAUUAACCGUUUCUUUGAUUUUACAUUUGGCCGUGAACUUAAAGAACCUCUACUGAAUAAGUCAAAUAAAAGUAAGUCUAGGAUCCCAGGAAUUAGAACAUAUAAUCUUCAAAGCAUCCAUGUACAAAGAACUCUUAGGCAAGCCAAAGGAGCAUCAACUAAUCUAAACCGUUUGGUGCAUCACAGUGCUACUUCUAAGACCAGCCAACUAAAUCAGAGCAACCAGCAGGAAGCCAGCCAGUAGCCUCUCCCAGCUAAAUCAACCAUAAGAUUCAGUAGUAACUGUGAAAAUGAGAGAAAUUACAGGAAAAAUUCUUCCUUGGGAUUACUACACAGCCUUGAGUGGUGUUACAGAAGUGGCAUUUUGUACUUUCAUUUUAAUGCUGUGAUUGUGAAUGCAUAAUGAAUUAUAUGAAAUGUCAAUUAAGUAAUGAAAUUAUUUAAUUCAAUGAAGCAACCAUUUACACACAUAUAGAAUAUCUGGAUCCCUUGGGACUCAGAGAUCCCUUUGUCUUGUUCUAACUCACACCAGUAUAAAUCAGGAGUCAACCUUCUGAAUUUAGUUGACAGGAAGUCUGAAUUCAAUAUGAUUUCUUCAUAUUUGUACUGGAAAAAUACAUAGAGUCAGAUCUCUCCAUCUUUACUAUGUAGUGGUGUUUUCUUCCAAGAUCUUCAUAAUCUUAAUUACUGUUCAAUUUUUACUAAACUGGGAAAAUAUCAUGGGUUACAGUACAGUACACUUUCUUGAAAAGGUGAGGAACUAAAAAACAACAAUAUCAGUGCGUGCCAGAUCAAGGUUUUCUGCUGGUAAAUUUACUGUGCAAAUUUUUCUUUUGCUGUUCAGAAAUACGCUUUUAGACAAUUCCAAAAAUUGGUUAUAACACAUGCCUUUACUAUACCUAUAGAACCUAUCUCAUAUAUAUCUGUGUGUAUUUGUGUGUGUGCAUGAACUGAUGUAAGGAAUAGCAACGGAAUUAAAUCUGAGUGUAAAUUACGGACUUCAAUAUUGCACCUUUUAGAAAAAAUGCAUUUCACUUUUCAGAUUAUUUUUAAAAAAUAUAAGAUUGCACUGCUAUACAUGACAAAAUUAUAGACGUUAUAUAUCUGCUCAUUUCUAAUAAAAUUCUAACUAUUUUAAAAGUAAUUGUUGGUAAUUUACCAUAUUACUCUGAAAUUAAAGGACUUAGAUGUCCUAUCUUUAAUCUAGAGUACUGUCUUUAAUAUCAGAGCUUACUUGCAGUCUUGGUAAAUUUUCCAUAGCAUUUUCACCUUUCAGGUUAAAUUAAAUGGCUGCUGAAGGUAGGUAUUUAUUUAUUUCUAAAAUUUUCUAUGCUAAAUUUGGAAACAAACAUCACAUUUCUAUUAGCCGUAUGCUUUAUUUUUUAUUUUUUUUUAUAAUCUAGAAUAUUACAACUUUUUGUUUGUUUGUUUCUCCUAGGUGAUUUGAAAGAGCUUUUUAGUGUUAAUUUCACUUACAAGUAUAUGCCAGGUAGUAAGUGUGAAGGUUGUUAGCAGACACGGGCAUUUGUGCAGUCAGGUCCCCUUUCUGGCUGGUAAGUUUUCUUUGUCUCUUGUGCGGUUUGCUGGACAGCCACAAGGUGUCUUUGUUGUACUGUUGAUUUUCUAGAUCAGGGCCGCUGUGCCUGCACUACCCAGAAUAACAGAUUCUCUCUUCAGACGGGUUAAGGCAGCUUUGCACCAGAAAGAGCCACAGCUGUUGGUCCCAUUCUUGCAUUUUACAAGGCAAGAAAAAGCCAGUUGUAGUGUUGCAGAGCUCAACAGGAGUUUGUGGUGGUGGCACAGACAUUGGGAAGGUUCUUGUUUUCUGAGUAAUUU